This 886-nucleotide ribosomal RNA is filed under the name uncultured Acinetobacter sp. Its description in RNAcentral is "bacterial SSU rRNA". It matches the Rfam family "Bacterial small subunit ribosomal RNA", at positions 54 to 943 of the family's 1533-position model. The record is from RNAcentral. Lineage: Bacteria; Pseudomonadati; Pseudomonadota; Gammaproteobacteria; Moraxellales; Moraxellaceae.
CGCGUAUGUCAAUGGGUAGCUUGCUCUAUCACUUAGCGGCGGACGGGUGAGUAAUGCUUAGGAAUCUGCCUAUUAGUGGGGGACAACGUUUCGAAAGGGAUGCUAAUACCGCAUACGUCCUACGGGAGAAAGCAGGGGAUCAUUUGUGACCUUGCUCUUAUAUAUGACCCUAACUCGUAUUAUCUAGUUGGUGGGGUAGGGGCCUACCAGGGAGAAUAUCUGUCUGGGCUCUGAGAGGAAGAUCCCCCACUCUGGCUCAGACACACGCCCCACACUCACACGAGAGGCAACAGUGGAAAAUAUUGCACAGUGGGAAAAACCGUGAUCCACCCGUGCCGCGUGUGUGAAAAAACUCUUAUUUUUGUAAAACUUUUUAUUCGAGGAAGAGGCUCUUUUGGUUAAUACCCAAGAUGAGAGGAUGUUACUCGCAGAAUAAGCACCGGCUAAUUCUGUGCCAGCAGCCGCGGUAAUAAAGAGGGGGGAGGCGUUCAUCAUUUUUACUGGGGGUAAGGCCCGCGGAGGCGGCCUAUUAAGUCAGAUGAGAAACCCCGCAGGUUAUCUUGGGAGUUGCUUUCAAUACUGUUUGGCUAUAGUGUGGAAGAGGAUGGGAGAUUUCCUUGUGGGGCGGUGAGGUGCGUACAGAUCUGGAGGAAUACCGCUGGCGAAAGCCCCCCUCUCGGCGAACGAAGACGCUGAGUUGCGAAACCGUGGGGGAGCCCACAGUAUUAGAUCCCCUGGGCGUCCAUGCCGCAGGAGAGGCCUACUCCCCGGUGGGGUCCCUCAAAAUUUAGUGGCGCUUCUACGCAAUGAGGAAAAUUCCGGGGAGUACGGUCGCUCUACAAAACUCAUAAUAAAUGACUUCCGCGGCACAGCGGGGUAUCUUGUU